This 426-nucleotide ribosomal RNA is filed under the name uncultured bacterium. RNAcentral's name for it is "partial 16S ribosomal RNA". It matches the Rfam family "Bacterial small subunit ribosomal RNA", at positions 354 to 796 of the family's 1533-position model. The record is from RNAcentral.
GUGGGGAAUCUUAGACAAUGGGGGAAACCCUGAUCUAGCCAUGCCGCGUGAGCGAUGAAGGCCUUAGGGUUGUAAAGCUCUUUCAGCUGGGAAGAUAAUGACGGUACCAGCAGAAGAAGCCCCGGCUAACUCCGUGCCAGCAGCCGCGGUAAUACGGAGGGGGCUAGCGUUGUUCGGAAUUACUGGGCGUAAAGCGCGCGUAGGCGGACCAGAAAGUUGGAGGUGAAAUCCCAGGGCUCAACCUUGGAACUGCCUUCAAAACUCCUGGUCUGGAGUUCGAGAGAGGUGAGUGGAAUUCCGAGUGUAGAGGUGAAAUUCGUAGAUAUUCGGAGGAACACCAGUGGCGAAGGCGGCUCACUGGCUCGAUACUGACGCUGAGGUGCGAAAGCGUGGGGAGCAAACAGGAUUAGAUACCCUAGUAGUUCC